This 566-nucleotide long non-coding RNA is filed under the name Takifugu rubripes (torafugu). Its description in RNAcentral is "lncRNA (ENSTRUG00000027042.1)". The record is from RNAcentral. Lineage: Eukaryota; Metazoa; Chordata; Actinopteri; Tetraodontiformes; Tetraodontidae.
AGACAUGCGCUGACUGUCCCUGUCAACAAAGUGGACAUCAGCGACUGGGUGUUUCAAAAUGCCUGGGCAGGAGUCAAGAACGCAAAGUUCCAAGAAGCUGUCCAAGAAGAUCUUCAGAGACCUGUGUGGGAUAUAGAGUGGUGCACACCACUUGAGGACCAAACAGAUCUACCAGGAUUUAAGUUCAGAGCUGAUUUGUCGUUAGGAGGCAGAGUCCAUGAAGCAAUGGAGCACCAGAAGGCCUAUCAUCCCUGGAGGGCAUCAUUUAGAUCAUCUGACCUCUGGCCUAAAGCACUGAGGCCACAGCCCAGGAAGGAUGAUGCUAGGACAACAUUAAGUGCUACAAAUCAUCUCAAAUCAGUCAUUCUGACCUGUUCUGAUGACCGAAAAGUGCUACUGUUUGUUCCGCACAUGGGCAGUACCUCAUCACUUUCAUGACCAUGUUUGCUCCAUGCAUUCCAAAUUGUUUAUUACACAUAAAGUAUGUGUAAGCGUAUGCUGUGUCGCUGGGACCAUGAUUUGAUCGGGGUACCAUUGAACUAUCAAAUAUGCUCCCUUAAACUGCU